CAGUCGCCGCGGGAAUACGGAGGGUGCAAGCGUUAAUCGGAAUUACUGGGCGUAAAGCGUGCGUAGGCGGUUCGUUAAGUCUGUUGUGAAAGCCCCGGGCUCAACCUGGGAAUGGCAAUGGACACUGGCGAGCUAGAGUGUGUCAGAGGAUGGUGGAAUUCCCGGUGUAGCGGUGAAAUGCGUAGAGAUCGGGAGGAACAUCAGUGGCGAAGGCGGCCAUCUGGGACAACACUGACGCUGAGGCACGAAAGCGUGGGGAGCAAACAGGAUUAGAUACCCCCGUAGUCCCUGUCUCUUAUAC
RNAcentral lists this ribosomal RNA (301 nucleotides) under uncultured bacterium. Its description in RNAcentral is "partial 16S ribosomal RNA". It matches the Rfam family "Bacterial small subunit ribosomal RNA", at positions 509 to 807 of the family's 1533-position model. The record is from RNAcentral.